Schistocerca americana (American grasshopper) is the source of this 200-nucleotide small nuclear RNA. RefSeq annotates it as U2 spliceosomal RNA. The record is from RefSeq and is a predicted model, not a curated record. NCBI's taxonomy places the organism in Eukaryota, Metazoa, Arthropoda, Insecta, Orthoptera, Acrididae. The transcript has a single exon.
AUUUUUGGAGAGGAAAAGGAGCCCAACUUUAAAAAAAAGUGUAGUAUCUGUUCUUUUCAGCUUAAUAUCUGAUACGUCCUGCAUUGCACGACCAGAAUUUUAAACUCAUUUUUGGCUUAUGACGGAGUGCUAGGGGCUUGCUCCACCUCUGUCGCGGGUUGGCCCGGCAUUGCAGUACCGCCGCGAUCGGCCCACCAAAA